ACGCACGCUGGCGGCGUGCCUAAUACAUGCAAGUAGAACGCUGAAGGAGGAGCUUGCUCUUCUGGAUGAGUUGCGAACGGGUGAGUAACGCGUAGGUAACCUGCCUGGUAGCGGGGGAUAACUAUUGGAAACGAUAGCUAAUACCGCAUAAGAGUAGAUGUUGCAUGACAUUUGCUUAAAAGGUGCAAUUGCAUCACUACCAGAUGGACCUGCGUUGUAUUAGCUAGUUGGUGGGGUAACGGCUCACCAAGGCGACGAUACAUAGCCGACCUGAGAGGGUGAUCGGCCACACUGGGACUGAGACACGGCCCAGACUCCUGCGGGAGGCAGCAGUAGGGAAUCUUCGGCAAUGGACGGAAGUCUGACCGAGCAACGCCGCGUGAGUGAAGAAGGUUUUCGGAUCGUAAAGCUCUGUUGUAAGAGAAGAACGAGUGUGAGAGGGGAAAGUUCACACUGUGACGGUAUCUUACCAGAAAGGGACGGCUAACUACGUG
This 494-nucleotide ribosomal RNA is filed under the name uncultured bacterium. RNAcentral's name for it is "partial 16S ribosomal RNA". It matches the Rfam family "Bacterial small subunit ribosomal RNA", at positions 29 to 507 of the family's 1533-position model. The record is from RNAcentral.